Molecule: ribosomal RNA, 1504 nt
Filed under: Chloroflexota bacterium
Lineage: Bacteria; Bacillati; Chloroflexota
Description: bacterial SSU rRNA
Rfam family: Bacterial small subunit ribosomal RNA
Source: RNAcentral
UUCUUCACGAAGAGUUUGAUCCUGGCUCAGGAUGAACGCUGGCGGCGUGCCUAAUACAUGCAAGUCGAACGAAGAGUGUAGCAAUAUGCUCUUAGUGGCGAACGGGUGAGUAACACGUGGGUGACCUACCCCAAAGUGUGGAAUAACUCCUCGAAAGAGGUGCUAAUACCGCAUGUGGUCCUAGAGAUUAGAGGCUUAGGGACUAAAGACUUCGGUCGCUUUGGGAGGGGCCCGCGGCCCAUCAGCUAGUUGGUGAGGUAAUGGCUCACCAAGGCAGUGACGGGUAGGGGACUUGAGAGGGUGACCCCCCACACUGGAACUGAAACACGGUCCAGACACCUACGGGUGGCAGCAGUAGGGAAUAUUGGUCAAUGGGCGAAAGCCUGAACCAGCAACGCCGCGUGCGCGAUGAAGGCCUUCGGGUCGUAAAGCGCUUUUGGGAGGGAUGAAAAUGACAGUACCUCCCGAAUAAGGAUCGGCUAACUACGUGCCAGCAGCCGCGGUAAGACGUAGGAUCCAAGCGUUAUCCGGAAUUACUGGGCGUAAAGGGCGUGUAGGAGGUUGGGCAAGUCGGCCAUGAAAGCUCCCGGCUCAACUGGGAGAGGCUGGUCGAUACUGCCUGGCUAGAGGGCAAGAGAGGGAGGUGGAAUUCCCGGUGUAGUGGUGAAAUGCGUAGAUAUCGGGAGGAACACCAGUGGCGAAGGCGGCCUCCUGGCUUGUACCUGACUCUGAAACGCGAAAGCAUGGGUAGCAAACAGGAUUAGAAACCCUGGUAGUCCAUGCCAUAAACGAUGUCAACUGGGUGUCGGCGAAGUAAAAUUUGUCGGUGCCGAAGCUAACGCGUUAAGUUGACCGCCUGAGGACUACGAUCGCAAGAUUAAAACUCAAAGGAAUUGACGGGGACCCGCACAAGCAGCGGAGCGUGUGGUUUAAUUCGAGGCUACGCGAAGAACCUUACCAGGGUUUGACAUUCAUGUAGUAGGGAAGCGAAAGCGGACCGACCCUUCGGGGAGCAUGAACAGGUGAUGCAUGGCUGUCGUCAGCUCGUGCCGUGAGGUGUUCGGUUAAGUCCGUUAACGAGCGCAACCCUUGUCGCAUGUUACACGUGUCAUGCGAGACUGCCGGUGUCAAACCGGAGGAAGGUGGGGACGACGUCAAGUCAGCAUGUCCUUUAUAUCCUGGGCUACACACACGCUACAAUGGCCGGGACAAUGGGUUGCCAAGCCGCGAGGCGGAGCCAAUCCCUCAAACCCGGUCUCAGUUCGGAUUGUAGGCUGCAACUCGCCUACAUGAAGUUGGAGUUGCUAGUAACCGCGCGUCAGCACAGUGCGGUGAAUACGUUCCCGGGUCUUGUACACACCGCCCGUCACGUCAUGGGAGCUGGCAAUGCCUGAAGCCGGUGGCCUAACCGCAAGGAAGGAGCCGUCUAGGGCAGGGUCGGUGACUGGGACGAAGUCGUAACAAGGUAGCAGUACCGGAAGGUGCGGCUGGAUCACCUCCUUUC